GGAGGAAUACCCAAGUCCGGCUGAAGGGAUCGGUCUUGAAACCCGACAGGGGCUUAACGGCUCGCGGGGGUUCGAAUCCCUCUUCCUCCGCCA
RNAcentral lists this transfer RNA (93 nucleotides) under Staphylococcus aureus. RNAcentral's name for it is "tRNA-Ser(tga)". It matches the Rfam family "tRNA". From Rfam's summary of the family: Transfer RNA (tRNA) molecules are approximately 80 nucleotides in length. Lineage: Bacteria; Bacillati; Bacillota; Bacilli; Caryophanales; Staphylococcaceae. The record is from RNAcentral.